AGCGAAAUUCCUUGUCAGGUAAGUUCUGACCCGCAUGAAAGGCGUAAUGAUUUGGGCACUGUCUCAACAGCCCGCCCGGCGAAAUUGUAGUACCGGUGAAGAUGCCGGUUACCCGCGACAAGACGGAAAGACCCCAUGGAGCUUUACUGUAGCCUAAUAUUGGGUUUCGAUGUUGCAUGCACAGGAUAGAUGGGACACUGGGAAGCACGGGCUUUGGCCUGUGUGGAGUGGCCGUUGGGAUACCAUCCUUGCGAUAUUGGAAUUCUAACCUGCGCCUUUGAAUCAAGGCGGGGGACAUUGUUAGGUGGGCAGUUUGACUGGGGCGGUCGCCUCCUAAAAAGUAACGGAGGCGUUCAAAGGUUCGCUCAGCUUGAACGGAAAUCAAGCAAGAGAGUGCAAACGCAGAAGCGAGCCUAACUGCGAGAC
RNAcentral lists this ribosomal RNA (426 nucleotides) under gut metagenome. Its description in RNAcentral is "bacterial LSU rRNA". It matches the Rfam family "Bacterial large subunit ribosomal RNA", at positions 1958 to 2381 of the family's 2925-position model. The record is from RNAcentral.